This 24-nucleotide non-coding RNA is filed under the name Gossypium hirsutum (cotton). The record is from RNAcentral. Lineage: Eukaryota; Viridiplantae; Streptophyta; Magnoliopsida; Malvales; Malvaceae.
GAAAUGAGGUUCGUGGGAUUGUGC